This 671-nucleotide long non-coding RNA is filed under the name Elaeis guineensis (African oil palm). Its description in RNAcentral is "long non-coding RNA (EGUI_LNC001703)". Lineage: Eukaryota; Viridiplantae; Streptophyta; Magnoliopsida; Arecales; Arecaceae. The record is from RNAcentral.
GGGAACAGAAGAAACAUUACCCACAUCUUCCACUUCUCUAGCUCGAGCUUGGAUCAAGUGUUGAUUGGGAUCCGUAGCCCAUUUAGGCUUCAGCCCUAAAACUCUAAAGUUUUUCCAAGAUCAGGCCAGGGCUUCAUCAAAACCCAUGUGACAUGGUCCAAUUUUAACCAUACUCAGACAUGCAUGAGUGAGAGAGAGAGAGAGACAGAGAGUGGGGGUAGGGAUGGCAAUCAGGUUGGAUCGGGUCAUAAACGGAUUGGAUCAUAUACGGGUCGAAUUAGAAAAUAUCAAAUCUGAAUCCGACCUAUUUAUUAAACAGGUUAGAUUUUUCAAUCUAAAUCGAACCUAUUUAAUAAACAGAUCAUCCGAUCCGACCUGUUUAAUUUGUUUAUAAAUAGGUAACCUAUUUAACUGAUCCGAUCCAACCUGUUUACUAAAUAACUAACCUAUUUGCUAAACCCAACUUGAUCUAACCUGUUUAACUUGAUUAUUGAAAAAAAUCAGUUGUUUUUGAUCCAAUACUAUUUAAAUUUUGACAUGUUUGGUUUAACCUUAUCAACAAACUUAAAUAUAAACAUCAAAAUUAGAUAUCAAAAAUAAAUAAACUUUUUUUGGUAGGAAGCUGUAAUUUUAUUUACUGACUCAAGUAUACAUUAUACAACAAGCAAACC